ACUCAUCAAAUAGAGUAUUUAGUUAUCCUCAAAAAUAUGUCUUGAGAUUUUCGUGUUUAGGACUUACUCAAGCGCAUAUAUAAAGUUUUUGGUUUAUUUCGCUUUGAAAUUGCCUUUGGUUAGCGUCUGAAUUGGGAAUGGAAUAAUACGCUUCACACGCAACACAUGAGGCAUUCGUCUUUAAGAGAAUUGACAGGCAAAUCUGCCACACUCAUGACACCGAGAAGUACUGGGAAGAAAUUCAGUAACCUAACGGAAUUUCGCAUUCAGAGGGAGUAAAUUCAAGUAGAACAACACCUAAGUGACUCCUUAUUUGUUAUUUGGCAAGGAUACAAGUAAAGAUAGUUAAGCUUUUCGUAAAAGUACAAGUGGGAUCCAAACGUGGUUUGCCUCAAGACAACACAAUAGCUAAAAUCUACUUGAAUUUUUUAAAAAAGUUUUGCAUUCAUAUGUAUAAACGUUUAUUUUUUCUUUGAAUAUAAUUUUACAUUAGAUUAAAAAAAAAACGG
Molecule: long non-coding RNA, 509 nt
Filed under: Arabidopsis lyrata
Lineage: Eukaryota; Viridiplantae; Streptophyta; Magnoliopsida; Brassicales; Brassicaceae
Description: long non-coding RNA (ALYR_LNC002413)
Source: RNAcentral